RNAcentral lists this ribosomal RNA (449 nucleotides) under uncultured bacterium. RNAcentral's name for it is "bacterial SSU rRNA". It matches the Rfam family "Bacterial small subunit ribosomal RNA", at positions 330 to 793 of the family's 1533-position model. The record is from RNAcentral.
GCCAGACUCCUACGGGAGGCAGCAGUGGGGAAUAUUGCACAAUGGGGGAAACCCUGAUGCAGCAACGCCGCGUGAAGGAAGACGGUUUUCGGAUUGUAAACUUCUGUUCUUAGUGAAGAAUAAUGACGGUAGCUAAGGAGCAAGCCACGGCUAACUACGUGCCAGCAGCCGCGGUCAUACGUAGGAUCCGAGCAUUAUCCGGAGUGACUGGGUGUAAAGAGUUGCGUAGGUGGCAUAAUAAGUAGCUAGUGAAAUCUGGUGGCUCAACCAUUCAGACUAUUAGCUAAACUGUUAAGCUCGAGACCGUUAGGGGUAACUGGAAUUUCUAGUGUAGGAGUGAAAUCCGUAGAUAUUAGAAGGAACACCAAUAGCGUAGGCAGGUUACUGGGACGGUUCUGACACUAAGGCACGAAAGCGUAGGGAGCAAACGGGAUUAGAUACCCCAGUAA